GAUUGUUUCUUUUUUUAUUUAUCAUUUGAACACUUAGUUAGUUGUUCAAAUGAAACUUAAGAAAUGGUAAUCAUUGAUGACAUAGAACAUUGGCACUCUAGGGCAACUUAGACACUUAAGUGAGGAUGCUUCAAUUAAGUAACAUGUUUUUGAAUGUACAUGGUUGUUGUGUUUGACAUCCAUACACACGCACAAGCAUGUGCAUGCAAAC
RNAcentral lists this long non-coding RNA (211 nucleotides) under Vigna radiata. Its description in RNAcentral is "long non-coding RNA (VRAD_LNC002767)". Lineage: Eukaryota; Viridiplantae; Streptophyta; Magnoliopsida; Fabales; Fabaceae. The record is from RNAcentral.